Molecule: ribosomal RNA, 496 nt
Filed under: uncultured bacterium
Lineage: Bacteria
Description: partial 16S ribosomal RNA
Rfam family: Bacterial small subunit ribosomal RNA
Source: RNAcentral
GAUGAACGCUGGCGGCGUGCCUAAUACAUGCAAGUCGAGCGAACAGAUGAGGAGCUUGCUCCUCUGACGUUAGCGGCGGACGGGUGAGUAACACGUGGAUAACCUACCUAUAAGACUGGGAUAACUUCGGGAAACCGGAGCUAAUACCGGAUAAUAUAUUGAACCGCAUGGUUCAAUAGUGAAAGACGGUUUUGCUGUCACUUAUAGAUGGAUCCGCGCCGCAUUAGCUAGUUGGUAAGGUAACGGCUUACCAAGGCAACGAUGCGUAGCCGACCUGAGAGGGUGAUCGGCCACACUGAAACUGAGCCACGGUCCAGACCCCUACGGGAGGCAGCGGUAGGGAAUCUUCCGCAUGGGGCGAAGGCCUAACGGGGCAACGCCGCGGAGGUAAUGAGGGUCUUCGGUUCGUAAAACUCUGUUAUUGGGAAAGAACAAAUGUGUAAGUAACUAUGCACGUCUUGACGGUACCUAAUCAGAAAGCCACGGCUAACUACGU